Molecule: non-coding RNA, 147 nt
Filed under: Chlorocebus sabaeus (green monkey)
Lineage: Eukaryota; Metazoa; Chordata; Mammalia; Primates; Cercopithecidae
Source: Rfam by way of RNAcentral
GCCAGGCCUGGUGGUGCACGCCUGUAAUCCCAGCUACUUGGAGGCUGAGGUGGGAGGAUUGCUUGAACCCAGGAGGUGGAGGUUGCAGUGAGCCAAGAUUGUGCCACUGCACACCAGCCUGGGUAACAGAGUGAGACUCCAUUUCAU